Non-coding RNA from Podarcis lilfordi (Lilford's wall lizard), 1676 nucleotides. The record is from the annotation of a GenBank genome assembly. Lineage: Eukaryota; Metazoa; Chordata; Lepidosauria; Squamata; Lacertidae.
CCAGACAUUCCCAUUACAAUGUCAAAUUUUCCAGAAGGAACCAGGUUAAAGACCUUGCAUCUCCAGUUAAAGUGAUUUCAUGUAGCAGAUCUCUGCUUGAGAACUUGGAGAGUCACUACAAAUCAAAGGAAGCAGUUCUGUGUUUGAUGAAUCAAUGAUCUCAGGCUCAGUGAGUACAAGACAACCUCCUCUGUUCACAUCUAAGCUAAACUUUACAGCAGUCUUUCUUAACUAUAGCAACCACCAAGUAAGUUAGCCAGGAUGGUCACAGAAUCUUCCAUUUUAGGUUUGUACUCAGUGGGUGGGGACCUUCAAAACCAUUUUUUUCUUUAACGAAUAACAUUUUGAUUCCCAUUGCUUUCCUUUUAUAGUAGCUGUUGAGGCCUAGUUCUUUUUGGCAGCAAUUGCUUUUAAAGAAAUCCACCUUCCUUUUCAGCUCUUUCCCCCACCUCCUUCAUUUUAUUAUUUUUUAAGAACCUGUGCCUGAAAACUCCAUCUGCUACCAUUGUUUAUUCUCACCUGAAGCCAUAUUGUGCCAUUUGUGUCAUCACGACUAUUGCCAUCUCCACUAAUUGCAACACCUACCACAGGAUGGCGGCUUCAAGGGGGGGUGCAGAGUGGCAGCUGAGCUUUUAAGCAACAAAGACACCUGGUUUUGUGCUAAUUUCUCUUUGCAAUAAAAAUGGAGUUAUUAAAAAUAUAUAAGGUGAAAACAACAGUUAGAAUAAAUUGCUUUGGAAAUUUUCCACAAGGCAUUGGUGUGCUUCUCGCAUGUAAACGAGCGACUAUGACAUCCCUGGAGGGAAUCGUAAAUGUAUGUAUGUUUUUAACACCCCGAUUCUCAACAGCAGAAAUCCUACUGAAGCUUUGCUAUUGCAAAAGAUGUGAGAACCAGAGUGCCAGUGUAAGCUCAUUUCAUUAUUAAAACUGUUGGUGUCAAUUAGUGACUUUGUCUGUGCGCUAGAAGUUUUCUGCUAGGUGUUUAGGAAUGUUCCAGUCCUUGUUUCCACAGUCUCACAUAUGAUGCUAUGUAGCACCUGCAGCAAAACACUUUUAGAAAGCAGGUUCAAUGUUGUUGAGUCAUAAGAACAUAAAAAGAGCCUGCUGGAUCCUGCCAAUGGCCCAUUUAUUCCAGCAUCCUGUUAUCACAGUCAUCAGCCAGACGACCUUGGAAGGCCUGCAAGCUGGACAUGUGCACAACUGCACUCUGCCCACCUGCAACUCCCAGCAACCGGUCUUCAGAGACAAAACGGUGGUGUGUAGCUGUUGACAGCUGUGUCCUCCAUGCAUUUGUCCAAUCCUCUUUUUAAACCAUCCACGUUGGUGGUCCUUCAAUUUCUGGUAAAGGCAAGGAAAGACAAAUAGCAAGGGGCUCCUAUAAAUCUAGCAUAGAUGUUUCAAUUGUAGUCACAAUGAUGCAACCUAUCUCUACCAUUUAAAUCAUGUAAUUGUAGGAAGCGAAAAUAACAGAGAUCCAUCCUGCAACGAUAUCAGCAUGAUCAAAAUCCUUACCACUUAAAUGUGUUCGCUAAGGGCACCCAACAGGCCUCCGCUACAAGUAAGGCAUUUAGCACUGCUGUUCCCAUGCUGUGGAACACUCUUCCAGCAAAGGUACACAGUUAUCCUCACUUUUAAUAAUAAUAAAACUUUAUUUAUAUCCCGCCCUCCCCAGCCGA